GUAGGCGCGCAAUUACCCAAUCCCGACACGGGGAGGUAGUGACAAUAAAUACUGAUACAGGGCUCUUUUGGGUCUUGUAAUUGGAAUGAGUACAAUUUAAAUCCCUUAACGAGGAACAAUUGGAGGGCAAGUCUGGUGCCAGCAGCCGCGGUAAUUCCAGCUCCAAUAGCGUAUAUUAAAGUUGUUGUGGUUAAAAAGCUCGUAGUUGAACCUUGGGCCUGGCUGGCCGGUCCGCCUCACCGCGUGUACUGGUCCGGCCGGGCCUUUCCCUCUGUGGAACCCCAUGCCCUUCACUGGGUGUGGCGGGGAAACAGGACUUUUACUUUGAAAAAAUUAGAGUGCUCCAGGCAGGCCUAUGCUCGAAUACAUUAGCAUGGAAUAAUAGAAUAGGACGUGUGGUUCUAUUUUGUUGGUUUCUAGGACCGCCGUAAUGAUUAAUAGGGACAGUCGGGGGCAUCAGUAUUCAAUUGUCAGAGGUGAAAUUCUUGGAUUUAUUGAAGACUAACUACUGCGAAAGCAUUUGCCAAGGAUGUUUUCAUUAAUCAGGAACGAAAGUUAGGGGAUCGAAGACGAUCAGAUACCGUCGUAGUCUUAACCACAAACUAUGCCGACUAGGGAUCGGACGAUGUUAUUUUUUGACUCGUUCGGCACCUUACGAG
Molecule: ribosomal RNA, 659 nt
Filed under: uncultured eukaryote
Lineage: Eukaryota
Description: SSU rRNA
Rfam family: Eukaryotic small subunit ribosomal RNA
Source: RNAcentral